Molecule: ribosomal RNA, 995 nt
Filed under: Lactiplantibacillus plantarum
Lineage: Bacteria; Bacillati; Bacillota; Bacilli; Lactobacillales; Lactobacillaceae
Description: bacterial SSU rRNA
Rfam family: Bacterial small subunit ribosomal RNA
Source: RNAcentral
CCAGCAGCCGCGGUAAUACGUAGGUGGCAAGCGUUGUCCGGAUUUAUUGGGCGUAAAGCGAGCGCAGGCGGUUUUUUAAGUCUGAUGUGAAAGCUCUUCGGACUCAGCCGCAGAAGGUGCAUCGGAUAACUGGGAAACUUGAGUGCAGAAGAGGACAGUGGAACUCCAUGUGUAGCGGUGAAAUGCGUAGAUAUAUGGAAGAACACCAGUGGCGAAGGCGGCUGUCUGGUCUGUAACUGACGCUGAGGCUCGAAAGUAUGGGUAGCAAACAGGAUUAGAUACCCUGGUAGUCCAUACCGUAAACGAUGAAUGCUAAGUGUUGGAGGGUUUCCGCCCUUCAGUGCUGCAGCUAACGCAUUAAGCAUUCCGCCUGGGGAGUACGGCCGCAAGGCUGAAACUCAAAGGAAUUGACGGGGGCCCGCACAAGCGGUGGAGCAUGUGGUUUAAUUCGAAGCUACGCGAAGAACCUUACCAGGUCUUGACAUACUAUGCAAAUCUAAGAGAUUAGACGUUCCCUUCGGGGACAUGGAUACAGGUGGUGCAUGGUUGUCGUCAGCUCGUGUCGUGAGAUGUUGGGUUAAGUCCCGCAACGAGCGGCACCCUUAUUAUCAGUUGCCAGCAUUAAGUUGGGCACUCUGGUGAGACUGCCGGUGACAAACCGGAGGAAGGUGGGGAUGACGUCAAAUCAUCAUGCCCCUUAUGACCUGGGCUACACACGUGCUACAAUGGAUGGUACAACGAGUUGCGAACUCGCGAGAGUAAGCUAAUCUCUUAAAGCCAUUCUCAGUUCGGAUUGUAGGCUGCAACUCGCCUACAUGAAGUCGGAAUCGCUAGUAAUCGCGGAUCAGCAUGCCGCGGUGAAUACGUUCCCGGGCCUUGUACACACCGCCCGUCACACCAUGAGAGUUUGUAACACCCAAAGUCGGUGGGGUAACCUUUUAGGAACCAGCCGCCUAAGGUGGGACAGAUGAUUAGGGUGAAGUCGUAACAAGGUA